RNAcentral lists this ribosomal RNA (229 nucleotides) under uncultured bacterium. RNAcentral describes it as "partial 16S ribosomal RNA". It matches the Rfam family "Bacterial small subunit ribosomal RNA", at positions 524 to 745 of the family's 1533-position model. The record is from RNAcentral.
UACGUAGGGUGCGAGCGUUAAUCGGAAUUACUGGGCGUAAAGCGUGCGCAGGCGGUUUUGUAAGUCAGAUGUGAAAUCCCCGGGCUCAACCUGGGAACUGCGUUUGAAACUUACAAAGGCUAGAGUGUAGCAGAGGGGGGUAGAAUUCCACGGUGUAGCAGUGAAAUGCGUAGAGAUGAUGGAGGAACACCGGUGGCGAAGGCAAUCCCUGGACCUGGUACUGAACACG